This 174-nucleotide long non-coding RNA is filed under the name Amazona collaria (yellow-billed parrot). RNAcentral's name for it is "lncRNA (ENSACOG00000000396.1)". Lineage: Eukaryota; Metazoa; Chordata; Aves; Psittaciformes; Psittacidae. The record is from RNAcentral.
GAGGCAUUUACAAAUAAAUGAAAAAUGUCACAAUUGAUUUUGCUUCUUUCAGAGUACUCUGUGUCAGCUUUGUCACAAACCCUUUGUUAUUCUCUUUUUCAGAUCUGUUGUCUGGACAUUGGAAAUAACUUUGGUUCUGGGCUUCUUCCUGUUGACCCAGGAGUAUUAAUGUAG